Molecule: ribosomal RNA, 496 nt
Filed under: uncultured bacterium
Lineage: Bacteria
Description: partial 16S ribosomal RNA
Rfam family: Bacterial small subunit ribosomal RNA
Source: RNAcentral
AUUGAACGCUGGCGGAAUGCUUUACACAUGCAAGUCGAACGGUAGAGGGGGCAACCCCUCGAGAGUGGCGCACGGGUGAGUAAUAUAUCGGAACGUGCCCAGUCGUUGGGGAUAACGUAGCGAAAGUUACGCUAAUACCGCAUACGAUCUAAGGAUGAAAGCGGGGGAUCGCAAGACCUCGCGCGAUUGGAGCGUCCGAUAUCAGAUUAGGUAGUUGGUGGGGUAAAGGCUCACCAAGCCAAUGAUCUGUAGCUGGUCUGAGAGGACGACCAGCCACACUGGAACUGAGACACGGUCCAGACUCCUACGGGAGGCAGCAGUGGGGAAUUUUGGACAAUGGACGCAAGUCUGAUCCAGCCAUUCCGCGUGCAGGAUGAAGGCCCUCGGGUUGUAAACUGCUUUUGUACGGAACGAAAAGGUCUCUCUUAAUACGGGGGACUCAUGACGGUACCUGAAGAAGAAGCACCGGCUAACUACGUGCCAGCCGCCGCAGUAA